Molecule: ribosomal RNA, 254 nt
Filed under: uncultured bacterium
Lineage: Bacteria
Description: partial 16S ribosomal RNA
Rfam family: Bacterial small subunit ribosomal RNA
Source: RNAcentral
UACGGAGGGUGCGAGCGUUGUCCGGAAUCACUGGGCGUAAAGGGCGCGUAGGUGGCUUGGCAAGCGUGUGGUGAAAGCCCGGGGCUCAACCCCGGGUCUGCCGUGCGAACUGCUAUGGCUUGAGCACUGUAGAGGCAGGUAGAAUUCCGGGUGUAGCGGUGGAAUGCGUAGAGAUCCGGAAGAACACCGGUGGCGAAGGCGGCCUGCUGGGCAGUUGCUGACACUGAGGCGCGACAGCGUGGGGAGCAAACAGG